AUGAACGCUGGCGGCGUGCUUAACACAUGCAAGUCGAACGAAGCACUUUAUUUGAUUUCCUUCGGGACUGAUUAUUUUGUGACUGAGUGGCGGACGGGUGAGUAACGCGUGGGUAACCUGCCUUGUACAGGGGGAUAACAGUUGGAGACGGCUGCUAAUACCGCAUAAGCGCACAGCAUCGCAUGAUGCAGUGUGAAAAACUCCGGUGGUAUAAGAUGGACCCGCGUUGGAUUAGCUAGUUGGUGAGGUAACGGCCCACCAAGGCGACGAUCCAUAGCCGACCUGAGAGGGUGACCGGCCACAUUGGGACUGAGACACGGCCCAAACUCCUACGGGAGGCAGCAGUGGGGAAUAUUGCACAAUGGGCGAAAGCCUGAUGCAGCGACGCCGCGUGAGCGAAGAAGUAUUUCGGUAUGUAAAGCUCUAUCAGCAGGGAAGAUAAUGACGGUACCUGACUAAGAAGCACCGGCUAAAUACGUG
This 480-nucleotide ribosomal RNA is filed under the name uncultured Lachnospiraceae bacterium. RNAcentral's name for it is "bacterial SSU rRNA". It matches the Rfam family "Bacterial small subunit ribosomal RNA", at positions 29 to 507 of the family's 1533-position model. Lineage: Bacteria; Bacillati; Bacillota; Clostridia; Lachnospirales; Lachnospiraceae. The record is from RNAcentral.